RNAcentral lists this ribosomal RNA (165 nucleotides) under Pleosporales sp. RNAcentral's name for it is "partial large subunit ribosomal RNA". It matches the Rfam family "Eukaryotic large subunit ribosomal RNA", at positions 99 to 261 of the family's 3401-position model. The record is from RNAcentral. Lineage: Eukaryota; Fungi; Ascomycota; Dothideomycetes; Pleosporales.
CGGCAACAGCUCAAAUUUGAAAUCUGGCCCUUUCAGGGUCCGAGUUGUAAUUUGCAGAGGGUGCUUUGGCGUCGGCCGUGGUCUAAGUUCCUUGGAACAGGACGUCACAGAGGGUGAGAAUCCCGUACGUGGCCGCCGGUCUUCGCCGUGUAAAGCCCCUUCGAC